AGAGAGAGAGUUAUGGGCUGACCACCAAUCUUUACGGCGGAUUGACGGUGGCGCAACGGCGGUGACAUCACAAUCCGGCGUGUACGCUUCAACAACUCGCUAACCGCAGGACGAGGGUUCCGCCGCAAACACAACCAUAGCGGCGAGUAUGGUUGUUCUUCCGUGACAUUGGAAGCCAAUCCAGCCAAACGAAAUACGUAUUCUAACGAACGAGGUAUUUUUAUUCCGAGUGUGGACAGAUACAAUGAAGACAACGAGCAUCAUGAGCGCUCAAACACAAGACCACUGCUUGAGCGAAUGUCGCCAAACAUACCAGCUUAAAUACAUGUGCUUCAGUUUUGUUAUGGGUGUGGAAGUGCAUAUAUAAACACUCACAUGUGUGCUUCCGUUUAACGUUUUUGUUAGUAGCAAGUUGUUUGCUAAUAAAUUCGGAAAAUCAUUUGGACAACCAUUCGGACAGAUUUGCUCAAUCAGGCGGCGUUGGCGGUGCUACUAUUGCGGCAGAAACUAGGAUUUAUGUAGUUGAAGGCGGUGAUGGUGGUUGCCGGCAUCAAAGCAGGUUGACGGCCAUGGGUACAGAAGAGGACUGAGGCAAAUAAGGUAAGUUUUCACGGCUAUGGUUCUCUUAUCCACUAAUUUUAUCGCUUGGGUUUGUUUUAAAUCGCUCCUCUGCGGUGACUUCUCCACCACCGACAUCAACUCUCAACUUGAAAUCAUUUGCCGUCGACAUCAACUCUCGACUUCAAAUCGCCUUUUUGCGUAGACUUGACCACCAUUAACAUCAAAAUUGGUAAUCGUUUCUUUUCGUUUGUGCUCUUCACAAUCUUUCCAGCCGGUUCAGUUUUUACCUUUGCAUUUUUUCUUCUUUAAAUAAUUUGUUGAUCCAGAGGUUUCUCUUAUUGG
This 903-nucleotide long non-coding RNA is filed under the name Helianthus annuus (common sunflower). Lineage: Eukaryota; Viridiplantae; Streptophyta; Magnoliopsida; Asterales; Asteraceae. The record is from RNAcentral.